RNAcentral lists this ribosomal RNA (253 nucleotides) under uncultured bacterium. RNAcentral's name for it is "partial 16S ribosomal RNA". It matches the Rfam family "Bacterial small subunit ribosomal RNA", at positions 524 to 776 of the family's 1533-position model. The record is from RNAcentral.
UACGAGGGGGGCAAGCGUUGUUCGGAUUUAUUGGGCGUAAAGGGUGCGUAGGCGGCGCGGUAAGUCGGGUGUGAAAUCUCGGAGCUUAACUCCGAAACUGCAUUCGAUACUGCCGUGCUUGAGGACUGGAGAGGAGACUGGAAUUUACGGUGUAGCGGUGAAAUGCGUAGAUAUCGUAAGGAAGACCAGUGGCGAAGGCGGGUCUCUGGACAGUUCCUGACGCUGAGGCACGAAGGCCAGGGGAGCAAACGGG